This 72-nucleotide transfer RNA is filed under the name Candidatus Dojkabacteria bacterium. Its description in RNAcentral is "tRNA-Cys". It matches the Rfam family "tRNA". Rfam says of the family: Transfer RNA (tRNA) molecules are approximately 80 nucleotides in length. Their secondary structure includes four short double-helical elements and three loops (D, anti-codon, and T loops). Further hydrogen bonds mediate the characteristic L-shaped molecular structure. tRNAs have two regions of fundamental functional importance: the anti-codon, which is responsible for specific mRNA codon recognition, and the 3' end, to which the tRNAs corresponding amino acid is attached (by aminoacyl-tRNA synthetases). tRNAs cope with the degeneracy of the genetic code in two manners: having more than one tRNA (with a specific anti-codon) for a particular amino acid; and 'wobble' base-pairing, i.e. permitting non-standard base-pairing at the 3rd anti-codon position. The record is from RNAcentral.
GGUGACGUAGCCAAGUGGCAAGGCAGCGGUCUGCAAAACCGCUAUUCGUGGGUUCGAAUCCCACCGUCACCU